RNAcentral lists this non-coding RNA (170 nucleotides) under Candidatus Metalachnospira gallinarum. RNAcentral's name for it is "Lysine riboswitch". It matches the Rfam family "Lysine riboswitch aptamer". From Rfam's summary of the family: Riboswitches are metabolite binding domains within certain messenger RNAs that serve as precision sensors for their corresponding targets. Allosteric rearrangement of mRNA structure is mediated by ligand binding, and this results in modulation of gene expression. RNAcentral also lists the same sequence under 1 other name. Lineage: Bacteria; Bacillati; Bacillota; Clostridia. The record is from RNAcentral.
UGAUAGAGGCGCGGAAAAUAAGAGUAGCGGAAAACAGGAUGUUAUCCAAGGCGGGCGGCCGUUUUCCGGGAAAGGAUUUUCUGCCGAAGUCUGCGAGCCUGCCCGGGCAAGCCGGCUGGGACGCCGUAAAAUAUGCGGCGUACUGUCACUUAUUGUGGAGAGCUAUCGUA